This 416-nucleotide ribosomal RNA is filed under the name uncultured bacterium. RNAcentral's name for it is "bacterial SSU rRNA". It matches the Rfam family "Bacterial small subunit ribosomal RNA", at positions 384 to 793 of the family's 1533-position model. The record is from RNAcentral.
UGAUGCAGCCAUGCCGCGUGUGUGAAGAAGGCCUUCGGGUUGUAAAGCACUUUCAGUAGGGAGGAAGGUAGUGUAGUUAACACCUGCACUAUUUGACGUUACCUACAGAAGAAGCACCGGCUAACUCCGUGCCAGCAGCCGCGGUAAUACGGAGGGUGCGAGCGUUAAUCGGAAUUACUGGGCGUAAAGCGCAUGCAGGCGGCCUGUUAAGUCAGAUGUGAAAGCCCGGGGCUUAACCUCGGAAUUGCAUUUGAAACUGGCAGGCUAGAGUCUUGUAGAGGGGGUAGAAUUUCAGGUGUAGCGGUGAAAUGCGUAGAGAUCUGAAGGAAUACCAGUGGCGAAGGCGGCCCCCUGGACAAAGACUGACGCUCAGAUGCGAAAGCGUGGGGAGCAAACAGGAUUAGAUACCCUGGUAG